AUUGAACGCUGGCGGCAUGCCUUACACAUGCAAGUCGAACGGCAGCACGGGAGCAAUCCUGGUGGCGAGUGGCGAACGGGUGAGUAAUAUAUCGGAACGUGCCCGGUCGUGGGGGAUAGCGUAGCGAAAGCUACGCUAAUACCGCAUACGAUCUACGGAUGAAAGCGGGGGAUCGCAAGACCUCGCGCGAUUGGAGCGGCCGAUAUCAGAUUAGGUAGUUGGUGAGGUAAAGGCUCACCAAGCCGACGAUCUGUAGCUGGUCUGAGAGGACGACCAGCCACACUGGGACUGACGACACGGGCCCAGACUCCUACGGGAGGCAGCA
This 325-nucleotide ribosomal RNA is filed under the name uncultured bacterium. RNAcentral describes it as "bacterial SSU rRNA". It matches the Rfam family "Bacterial small subunit ribosomal RNA", at positions 30 to 353 of the family's 1533-position model. The record is from RNAcentral.